RNAcentral lists this ribosomal RNA (484 nucleotides) under uncultured bacterium. RNAcentral's name for it is "partial 16S ribosomal RNA". It matches the Rfam family "Bacterial small subunit ribosomal RNA", at positions 30 to 507 of the family's 1533-position model. The record is from RNAcentral.
AUUGAACGCUGGCGGAAUGCUUUACACAUGCAAGUCGAACGGCAGCACGGGGGCAGCCCUGGUGGCGAGUGGCGAACGGGUGAGUAAUACAUCGGAACGUGCCCGGUCGUGGGGGAUAACGUAGCGAAAGUUACGCUAAUACCGCAUACGAUCUGAGGAUGAAAGCGGGGGACCUUCGGGCCUCGCGCGAUCGGAGCGGCCGAUGUCAGAUUAGAUAGUUGGUGGGGUAAAGGCCUACCAAGCCGACGAUCUGUAGCUGGUCUGAGAGGACGACCAGCCACACUGGGACUGAGACACGGCCCAGACUCCUACGGGAGGCAGCAGUGGGGAAUUUUGGACAAUGGGCGCAAGCCUGAUCCAGCCAUUCCGCGUGCAGGACGAAGGCCUUCGGGUUGUAAACUGCUUUUGUACGGAACGAAAAGGCUCUGGCUAAUACCUGGGGCUCAUGACGGUACCGUAAGAAUAAGCACCGGCUAACUACGUG